GGAGGAAAAGAAACCAACAGGGAUUCCUUGAGUAACGGCGAGCGAAAAGGGAAGAGCCCAGCGCCGAAUCCCCCAUCCUUUCGGGUGGCGGGAAAUGUGGCGUUCAGGAGUGAGCGUGCCGGACUCGGACCCCGCAGCAAGUCCCCCUGACCGGGGCUGUUACCCAGAGCGGGUGCGAGGCCCAUAGCCGUCAGGUCCGUUCCGGAUGCGAUCUCCUUGGAGUCGGGUUGCUUGGGAGUGCAGCCCUAAUCGGGUGGUAAACUCCACCUAAGGCUAAAUACCGCCGUGAGACCGAUAGCAAACAAGUACCGUGAGGGAAAGUUGCAAAGAACUUUGAAGAGAGAGUUCAAGAGUACGUGAAACUGCUCAGAGGUAAACGGGUGGGCCCUCGAAAUCCUGUGGCGAGAGGAUUCAGUCCGGCGUUGCGGACGUGAGAGACCGGAAAACCAGUAGGGCUUCCCUGAACGGGGGCCGUCCGGUUCCACGCCACCCCGUCGCGCCAGACUUACUUGACUCUCGUCCGAAGGACGCCGCAGCCGGUUGGGUAGCGCAAGCGCGACGGCCUGAAGGACGGACGAGGCAGGUGGCCGGUGGCGUUUGCUUCGGCGCGUCGCCGGUUGUUAGCCGUCACGUCAGUGGCUCGUCACCCGACCGUGGUGUCGCGAGGCCCCUCCACGGGGCCUCUCCGUCUCCUCCCUCGCCGAAAGCGGUAGAGCGCCGCAGUUGGCUUGCGCCGUCCCGUUCGCACCCCGCCGGGGUGGUCGGGCGAGCGUCGGCUUCCGAUCGCGGCGACGAGGCCGUCGGGGGCUGGAGGCUCGCGGCGAGUAGGUCGGUCACCCACCCGACCCGUCUUGAAACACGGACCAAGGAGUCUAACAUGUGCGCGAGUCAAUGGGACUUGAACAGGCCCAGAGGCGCAAUGAAAGCGAAGGUCGGCGGACGCCGACCGAGUUGGGAUCCCCGGUCUCGGCCGGGGCGCACCAACGACCCGUCCUCUCCGGUUCGCCGGUUGGGCGGAGUGUGAGCGUACACGUUGGGACCCGAAAGAUGGUGAACUAUGCCCGGACAGGACGAGGCCAGAGGAAACUCUGGUGGAGGUCCGUAGCGGUUCUGACGUGCAAAUCGAUCGUCAGAUCUGGGUAUAGGUGCGAAAGACUAAUCGAACCAUCUAGUAGCUGGUUCCCUCCGAAGUUUCCCUCAGGAUAGCUGGCGCUCGAGAUCAGUCUCAUCCGGUAAAGCGAAUGAUUAGAGGCCUUGGGGCCGAAACGACCUCAACCUAUUCUCAAACUUUAAAUGGGUGAAUGGCCGCCUUGCUUGAACGAAGGCCGGCCGACCAGAUGAGAGUGCCCAGUGGGCCACUUCUGGUAAGCAGAACUGGCGCUGUGGGAUGAACCAAACGCCGGGUUACGGCGCCCGAUGCGAGACGCUCAUGAGACCCCAUGAAAGGUGUUGGUUGCUCUAGACAGCAGGACAGUGGACAUGGAAGUCGUAAUCUGCUAAGGAGUGUGUAACAACUCACCUGCCGAAGCAACUAGCCCUGAAAAUGGAUGGCGCUCCAGCGUCGAGCCCAUACCCGGCCGCCGCGGCAGAGCUCCGCCCAGGGAGACUUACGCCGCGGUGAGUAGGAGGGUCGCGGCGGGGAGCGUAGAAGGUGCCGGGCGUGAGCCCGCCUGGAGCCCCCGUCGGCGCAGAUCUUGGUGGUAGUAGCAAAUACUCAAGUGAGAACCUUGAGGACUGAAGGUGGAGAAGGGUUCCAUGUGAACAGCAGUUGAACAUGGGUCAGUCGGCCCUAAGGGAUCGGAGAAAUCCGUUCCGAAGCGGGACCUUACAACUCAGUAUGGCAGUCCCGCUGCCGACCGAAAGGGAAUGGGGUUAAUAUUCCCCAACCCGGACACGGAGAUAGGGCUCUCGGGCCCAAGUGCGGUAACGCAACCGAACUCGGAGACGUCGACGGAGGACCCGGGGAAGAGUUAUCUUUUCUUUGUAAGGGUUCGUGUCCCUGGAAUCGGCUCGUCCGGAGAUAGGGACGCUGUUCCCGUAAAAGCACCGCGGCUCUUGCGGUGUCCGGUCCGCCUCUGUUGGCCCUUGCAAAUCCGAGGGAGAUGGUGUGAUUUUCGUGCCGGACCGUACCCAUAUCCGCAGCAGGUCUCCAAGGUGAACAGCCUCUAGUCGAUA
RNAcentral lists this ribosomal RNA (2175 nucleotides) under Desis formidabilis. RNAcentral's name for it is "eukaryotic LSU rRNA". It matches the Rfam family "Eukaryotic large subunit ribosomal RNA", at positions 52 to 1892 of the family's 3401-position model. Lineage: Eukaryota; Metazoa; Arthropoda; Arachnida; Araneae; Desidae. The record is from RNAcentral.